CCUACGGGAGGCAGCAGUGGGGAAUAUUGGACAAUGGGCGAAAGCCUGAUCCAGCCAUGCCGCGUGUGUGAAGAAGGCCUUCGGGUUGUAAAGCACUUUCAGUGGGGAAGAAAGCCUUGGGGCUAAUACCCUCGAGGAAGGACAUCACCCACAGAAGAAGCACCGGCUAACUCCGUGCCAGCAGCCGCGGUAAUACGGAGGGUGCGAGCGUUAAUCGGAAUUACUGGGCGUAAAGCGCGCGUAGGCGGUCUGAUAAGCCGGUUGUGAAAGCCCCGGGCUCAACCUGGGAACGGCAUCCGGAACUGUCAGGCUAGAGUGCAGGAGAGGAAGGUAGAAUUCCCGGUGUAGCGGUGAAAUGCGUAGAGAUCGGGAGGAAUACCAGUGGCGAAGGCGGCCUUCUGGACUGACACUGACGCUGAGGUGCGAAAGCGUGGGUAGCAAACAGGAUUAGAUACCCAGUAGUC
RNAcentral lists this ribosomal RNA (464 nucleotides) under Vreelandella stevensii. Its description in RNAcentral is "partial 16S ribosomal RNA". It matches the Rfam family "Bacterial small subunit ribosomal RNA", at positions 338 to 795 of the family's 1533-position model. Lineage: Bacteria; Pseudomonadati; Pseudomonadota; Gammaproteobacteria; Oceanospirillales; Halomonadaceae. The record is from RNAcentral.